AAAAACUCCUUAAUCCAAAUAUAUAAAAGUUAUGGAGUAGAUAUGCUCAAACAUUCCUAUGCUGAAUUCUAAAUCUUUCUCAGGCUGACAGAUCCUUCUGAGGGAACAGAAACAACGUAUCAUCCCACACAAUUCUGGGGUUACCUUCUCAUUUUGCUGAAGCUACCUCUAAAGAAGAGAAGAUCAUAGCUGACGUGUGACUGGGCUCCUGUCUAUGUGCAGGUAGACAAAAUGAAUGAAGGAGGACAAUUUGGAGAAGCACUGUUUUCAGCAAUAAUCUUACAUAUGAGAAUAAGAAGAAACAUGAAGUGACGAAACAUAUUGAACAGGGCAGAUGGUAGAUAUCCAUGAUCGGUUUCAAUGCACAUUUGUGAUUCGAGAUGAAUAGGUUACGGCAAUCACAGUGAUCCUACAGCAGGGCAGAGUAUAAAGAACAGAGAAACAAAUUAAAUAAAAAUCAAACAUAU
This 467-nucleotide long non-coding RNA is filed under the name Felis catus (domestic cat). RNAcentral describes it as "lncRNA (ENSFCAG00000051460.1)". The record is from RNAcentral. Lineage: Eukaryota; Metazoa; Chordata; Mammalia; Carnivora; Felidae.